Molecule: transfer RNA, 69 nt
Filed under: Sceleocantha glabricollis
Lineage: Eukaryota; Metazoa; Arthropoda; Insecta; Coleoptera; Cerambycidae
Description: tRNA-Gln
Source: RNAcentral
UGUGCUUUAGUAUAUGGUGUAUAAGAGUUUUUGAUACUUUAGGAAAUAGUUUAAUUCUAUUAGGUACAG